UCCGCCUUGUGUGCGGCAGUCUCUCUAGAUAUGCAACUAGAGACGGGGGGUUGCGCUCGUUGCGGGACUUAACCCAACAUCUCACGACACGAGCUGACGACAGCCAUGCAGCAUCUGUCUAUCCGUCCUUGCGGAGGGCCUGCUUUCACAGGCUUGCGAAUAGAUGUCAAGCCCAGGUAAGGUUCUUCGCGUCGCAUCGAAUUAAACCACACGCUCCGCUGCUUGUGCGGGUCCCCGUCAAUUCCUUUGAGUUUUAGUCUUGCGACCGUACUCCCCAGGCGGACCACUUAAUGCGUUAGCUUCGGCACAGGAGGGGUCAACACCCCCCACACCUAGUGGUCAUCGUCUACUGCUAGGACUAC
This 362-nucleotide unclassified non-coding RNA is filed under the name uncultured Ktedonobacteria bacterium. Its description in RNAcentral is "contains 16S-23S intergenic spacer region". Lineage: Bacteria; Bacillati; Chloroflexota; Ktedonobacteria. The record is from RNAcentral.